This 231-nucleotide unclassified non-coding RNA is filed under the name uncultured Geminibasidium. Its description in RNAcentral is "sequence contains ITS2". The record is from RNAcentral. Lineage: Eukaryota; Fungi; Basidiomycota; Geminibasidiomycetes; Geminibasidiales; Geminibasidiaceae.
ACACCUCAACCCUCCAAUGUUUUUGCAUUGGAGGUGUUGGUAGUGAGCGCUGCCGGACUUUGGGUCGGCUCGCUUUAAAAUCAUUAGCUGGAUCCAUUCUGACCUGGUUCUACUCGGCGUAAUAAGUUAUUAUCGUCGAGGACGCUUGUCUUUCUAGGCAGGCGGCCACAGUAAGGGUGUUUGAACCGCUUCCAACGACACGUCUUGCUCUCGGAGCAAGCGUCUUUGAAC